This 74-nucleotide transfer RNA is filed under the name Dethiosulfatarculus sandiegensis. RNAcentral's name for it is "tRNA-Gln". It matches the Rfam family "tRNA". From Rfam's summary of the family: Transfer RNA (tRNA) molecules are approximately 80 nucleotides in length. Lineage: Bacteria; Pseudomonadati; Thermodesulfobacteriota; Desulfarculia; Desulfarculales; Desulfarculaceae. The record is from RNAcentral.
UGGGCGAUCGUCUAACGGCAGGACUGCAGACUCUGGAUCUGCCUAUCGGGGUUCGAAUCCCUGUCGCCCAGCCA